CACACUAGAAAGAUUUUCCCUUUCCCGUCUUACAGCUGAGAAGUAUCCAGCAGUCAGGACUGGAAAUAGGCCUGCUGACAGGAUUACUGCUUGGAGUGGAGAAAGGUUUUUCUGGAAAGUCACUUAGGUCUCCUGACAAACACAGCACAUUUCACUUAACCACAGUAGUCAUGCUGUGCCCAUUGCUGAAUGAUGCUGGUGAGAGCUUGGUCCUGAUUUAGAUUAAGAAGCCUAAAUUUCAGAUGUUUACAUUUACACCGAGUGUGUAAACUUCCAUCACAGUCUGUGGUGCUCUAGGGAUCAUUUUAGUUCUCUACUCAUGGGCACCAAGUGCCAUUUGAGGGUCCUCAGGGUGUCUGCAGAGGGCUGAUGUCACAAUGUCUGCACAGACCUGUGUUCUGCCAGAGACACCCUGGGACCUCCCAGGACCACUGAGGUGAUGAGAGACACUUGUGUUUAGGACACUGCAUCUUCUUUGAGAUGGCUCAGACUUCCCUGCUACACCUCUGAGCUCUGGCACCAUGUCCCAGCAGGACACCAGCCCAUGGUGUCACCUUCUCCAUAGGGAACUUCCUCCUGCCCCUGCACCCCCCAUCUUUAAUGUGGAAAGCCCUGUGCUCUCCCAGGAAGAAACCUGGAGAACAUGAGGAAAACAAACCAAACCAAUGAAACCAAGGUGAGCAUCAUUAGUAUUUUCCUCCAAAAUCUGGAUUUUAGCCCAAAUUCAUAAUGGCCCAAGAAUUCUUAUUCCUGGCAAUGCUGUAGGAGAGGGAUAAAUCUCAGCUUUAUCCAGAAUUUGUCUUGUCUGUCACUGAGAGCUGAUUUUAAUGGCAAUGAUGUGAAACAGGCACCUUCAUCUCAGCAGGUAUCAGACACCAUGUUAGAUGUUUGAUCUAAAACUUCACUAACUCUGGGCCAAGAAAAAAUCAUAUCCUAGCUGAUCACUGCUGCAAAAUGAUAAUAGAUUUUUGAGGUGUCAUUUAAUCAGGUUUUAAGACAUAAAUGUUACUUUUUUAGGGCAGCCAGCUCCUUAACCUCAUUUACAGAUUUUCUUAAUUUCUGGUUUUAUCUUCCCUC
This 1077-nucleotide long non-coding RNA is filed under the name Cyanistes caeruleus (blue tit). Its description in RNAcentral is "lncRNA (ENSCCEG00000009160.1)". Lineage: Eukaryota; Metazoa; Chordata; Aves; Passeriformes; Paridae. The record is from RNAcentral.